CUUCCAAUCCCAGCUGAAACCGCACAUCUCACAGAGCUCCCCCUGACCAAUUCCAGGGAAAGUGGGACCCCUCCUUAGUUCCUCUCUCACUCAGAACUGGCUGGUCUUCUUCCUUCACACCACUUGCCAACAUCUCAGAGCUUGUGUCUUCAUAUGCUUAGCACUGGAGUGGCAGAGAGGAGAGGAGGGAUACAGACAGGAUUCUUCCAAAGAUCAGGAAACUGGCUUCAGAGAACCAAAGCAACCUGCCCAAGGUCACACAGCCAGGCCUGGAAUGGAAUCCAGGACUGUCUGGCCUGAAAAUCUGUGCUCUUUCUGCUGGGUCACACUGCUCUCCUGGGGAUAGGACCUUCUGGAGAUGGACAAGGAGUGGGCCCAGCUACGCCUCUGCCUGGCUGAGCGCCGGAACCAGCUGCCCACGCUCAGGCCGACAGCUUCUUCCUUCCAGCCGGACCAGAGGCUCAGAGGCCAGACAAAGAUUUAUCUGUUCCUUCUUCCCCUGGCUUUGGUGGGGUGGGGGGUGGUCUUUGAUUAGACAUGCACACCCCCUAGCACCACCAGAGAAGGGCUGCUGUCUCCUGUACUGCCCAGGGUGCCUGGGGAAUGCAGGGGGCCCCGUGACGCUGUCUGGGUUC
Molecule: long non-coding RNA, 635 nt
Organism: Bos taurus (domestic cattle)
Lineage: Eukaryota; Metazoa; Chordata; Mammalia; Artiodactyla; Bovidae
Source: Ensembl